GAUGAACGCUGGCGGCGUGCCUAACACAUGCAAGUCGAGCGAAGCACAUUGCUAUGAAUCUUUCGGGAGGAAGAGCGAAGUGACUUAGCGGCGGACGGGUGAGUAACGCGUGGGUAACCUGCCUCAUACAGGGGGAUAACAGUUAGAAAUGACUGCUAAUACCGCAUAAGCGCACAGGACCGCAUGGUCAAGUGUGAAAAACUGAGGUGGUAUGAGAUGGACCCGCGUCUGAUUAGCUAGUUGGUGAGGUAAGGGCUCACCAAGGCAACGAUCAGUAGCCGACCUGAGAGGGUGACCGGCCACAUUGGGACUGAGACACGGCCCAAACUCCUACGGGAGGCAGCAGUGGGGAAUAUUGCACAAUGGGGGAAACCCUGAUGCAGCGACGCCGCGUGAGCGAAGAAGUAUUUCGGUAUGUAAAGCUCUAUCAGCAGGGAAGAAAAUGACGGUA
This 451-nucleotide ribosomal RNA is filed under the name uncultured bacterium. RNAcentral's name for it is "bacterial SSU rRNA". It matches the Rfam family "Bacterial small subunit ribosomal RNA", at positions 28 to 477 of the family's 1533-position model. The record is from RNAcentral.